RNAcentral lists this ribosomal RNA (408 nucleotides) under uncultured bacterium. RNAcentral describes it as "partial 16S ribosomal RNA". It matches the Rfam family "Bacterial small subunit ribosomal RNA", at positions 28 to 526 of the family's 1533-position model. The record is from RNAcentral.
GACGAACGCUGGCGGCGUGCUUAACACAUGCAAGUCGAACGAAGUGGCGAACGGGUGAGUAAUACGUGAGUAACCUGCCCUCCUUUUUGGGAUAAGCCUUGGAAACGGGGUCUAAUACCGAAUACAGGGGGUUGGGCUCGAGGCCUAUCAGCUUGGUGGUGGGGUGAUGGCCUACCAAGGCGGUGACGGGUAGCCGGCCUGGGGGGGUGACCGUGCACAUUGGGAAUGGGAUACGCCCCAGACUCCUACGGGAGGCAGCAGUGGGGGAUAUUGAACAAUGGGCGAAAGCCUGAUGCAGCGGCGUCGCGUGGGGGAUGAAGGCUUUCGGGUUGUAAACCUCUUUCGCGAUCGAACGGUUAAGUGCAGAAGAAGCGCCGGCUAACUACGUGCCAGCAGCCGCGGUAAUUC